GGGAAUACCAAUUUAACUCCUACCCGUUCUGUGACCCUACCUAUCGUUGCUUCGGCGGACUCGCCCCAGCCCGGACGCGGACUGGACCAGCGGCCCGCCGGGGACCUCAAACUCUUGUAUUCCAGCAUCUUCUGAAUACGCCGCAAGGCAAAACAAAUGAAUCAAAACUUUCAACAACGGAUCUCUUGGCUCUGGCAUCGAUGAAGAACGCAGCGAAACGCGAUAAGUAAUGUGAAUUGCAGAAUCCAGUGAAUCAUCGAAUCUUUGAACGCACAUUGCGCCCGCCAGCAUUCUGGCGGGCAUGCCUGUUCGAGCGUCAUUUCAACCCUCGACCUCCCCUUGGGGGGGUCGGCGUUGGGGACCGGCAGCACACCGCCGGCCCUGAAAUGGAGUGGCGGCCCGUCCGCGGCGACCUCUGCGCAGUAAUACAGCUCGCACCGGAACCCCGACGCGGCCACGCCGUAAAACACCCAACUUCUGAACGUUGACCUCGAAUCAGGUAGGACUACCCGCUGAACUUAAGCAUAUCAAUAAGCGGAGGA
RNAcentral lists this ribosomal RNA (542 nucleotides) under Beauveria bassiana. RNAcentral's name for it is "eukaryotic LSU rRNA". The stretch from base 166 to 319 matches the Rfam family "5.8S ribosomal RNA". Lineage: Eukaryota; Fungi; Ascomycota; Sordariomycetes; Hypocreales; Cordycipitaceae. The record is from RNAcentral.